GUGUUCUUAGUAUACUCCAGUACACUUACCUUCCAAGUAAGAAGAUUAAUUACUUAAAAAACACA
RNAcentral lists this transfer RNA (65 nucleotides) under Amynthas glaucus. RNAcentral's name for it is "tRNA-Gly". Lineage: Eukaryota; Metazoa; Annelida; Clitellata; Crassiclitellata; Megascolecidae. The record is from RNAcentral.